RNAcentral lists this ribosomal RNA (478 nucleotides) under uncultured bacterium. RNAcentral's name for it is "partial 16S ribosomal RNA". It matches the Rfam family "Bacterial small subunit ribosomal RNA", at positions 28 to 523 of the family's 1533-position model. The record is from RNAcentral.
GACGAACGCUGGCGGCGUGCUUAACACAUGCAAGUCGAACGGUAAGGCCCUUCGGGGUACACGAGUGGCGAACGGGUGAGUAACACGUGGGUGAUCUGCCCUGCACUUUGGGAUAAGCCUGGGAAACUGGGUCUAAUACCGGAUAGGACCACUGCCUGCAUGGGUGGUGGUGGAAAGCUUUUGCGGUGUGGGGUGGGCCCGCGGCCUAUCAGCUUGUUGGUGGGGUGAUGGCCUACCAAGGCGACGACGGGUAGCCGGCCUGAGAGGGUGACCGGCCACACUGGGACUGAGAUACGGCCCAGACUCCUACGGGAGGCAGCAGUGGGGAAUAUUGCACAAUGGGCGCAAGCCUGAUGCAGCGACGCCGCGUGAGGGAUGACGGCCUUCGGGUUGUAAACCUCUUUCAGCACCGACGAAGCGCAAGUGACGGUAGGUGCAGAAGAAGGACCGGCCAACUACGUGCCAGCAGCCGCCGUAA